Manis javanica (Malayan pangolin) is the source of this 348-nucleotide long non-coding RNA. RefSeq lists it as uncharacterized. NCBI's taxonomy places the organism in Eukaryota, Metazoa, Chordata, Mammalia, Pholidota, Manidae. The record is from RefSeq and is a predicted model, not a curated record.
GGGGCGGGGCUGGCCGGGGCGGCCGGCGAGUUAGGGUUAGGGCGAGAGCAUGCGGCUUCCCGGCGGCAGAGGGCGCCUGGCGCUGCGGUCCGGUGCGCCGUAGCCGCCCGCGCGGGCGCCGAGAGGAGAGGCGGGGAGCGCGAGCGGCGGCGGCCACUGCCACGUAUUCCCGGCAGAGCGGGCGGCCGCGCGCGAGGAGGAAUAACUCAAGUCACCUUUAUUGGACAUCAGUUUGCUGAACCUACUGCAGCAUCAGCUUUUAAAGUUGGAGAAAAGGAGGUCCUGCGCCUUGACCUGAAGAGUGUGGCCCCUCCUUCAAAGCUCUCUGUGGACGUGGCUUCACAGCCU